UGCCCUUCGCCACGACGAUCGCAUUACUCACGCGUAAAUGAAAACCGACAAGUAAACCCCGAUAUGCCAGCCGGACGGGGACCACGUGACGAGGUUUUCCUCCUUUCGACGAACUCUGUUCGCACUGUUCCCUCGGCUGUGGCCAUCGGUUGUGGUCCUCGACGGGCUGGAUAAACAUGCAUUUUAGGACAUACAACGAUUUGUGAUACAUUUUACACCCCCCACCCCCCAAUUAGUCCCCCCGUGACCACUACAUGGGGUUACCAACUCGUAAGUAACAUUGUGCAAAGUGCUUACGUGUUUGCAAUGCUCAUGAGACCAGGGCACAAGUGCAUGUGGAAGAAAUAGAGACAUGCCUUGUUUGGUUGAGGGCUAACAAGCUUAAGCCACCCUUGGUCUGGCUGCCGUAAGGCUUGUGAACUCAAGCUCGUAACCUCGAGCAUGCUUUGCAGCAUCACACGUCCCGGGCAUUUCCUCAUGCCAAUAACCCCAACAGCAUCACGACGGUACACCUUUAAUCAAGUCUGAAUUACGUGCUUAGACAUGAAAAAGGUCUUGCCGUACCCCCCAGCCCCACGCAGAAACACGUGUGCUUGAUUAUGUAUAAUGGGCACCGACGCCACGCCGACAGUCAACACCCGCCGCAACCUACACACACAAAACGCGCGUCAGCCACUCCAUACCUAUGAGUGAAGAUCAGAGAGACAAGUAUCAUGCGCUAGAUAUUUGUUAGCGUAUGCAAGGAUUUAUGUUAUGGGCGCUCAAUUGCGUUAGCAUAAAGAAGACUCUAAAUGUAACCACUUGCCUAGAACUACCAAUGAUUGGCCGUCACAAGAACUGGCCAGCCAACUAAGACAACUGAUCACUCGCUCUGCUAGUGCUUACAGGUCUUCAAACCCAUAACCUAAAUCCAACAAGGUGUUAUGAAGCUUAAGCAGGUCAACGAAGUGGAGCCUACGGUAGGACUGGAGGAACGUUAAGACAAUUGUCGACCAGGUGGGUUGGUACUACAGCUUUGUUGUACCCUCUCGUUGUGUAAAUUUGGUAAAGAGAAUGAUUAGAGGUCCGGGGGUUCGAAGCAUUUCCACCUAUUCUCAAACUUUAAAUAUGUAAGACGUCCGGAUUGCUCGGUUGAACUCGGGCUUUCAAUGGGAGCUCCAAGUGGGCCUUUUGGGUAAGCAGAACUAACGACACAGGAUGAACCGAAAGCCGGGCUAAGGUGUCGGACUGCGCACUAACCCAGAUCCCACAAAGCGUGUUGAUUGAUACAGACAGUAGGACGGUGUUCAUGGAAGUUGAAAUCCGCUUUGGAGUGUAUAACAACUCACCUGCCGAAUCACAUAGCCCCGAAAAUGGAUGACGCUCAAGUGCGCGACCUAUAGCCGGCCAUGGGCGCAAGUGCGAAGCGGCAGGGAGGAGCGGGGUAGGAGGGCGUGGGCAUCAGGGCGUGGGCAUCGUGACGCAUCUUGCGGCGUGAGCCAGGGUCAAACGGUGCCUAGUGCAGUUCUUGGUGGUAGUAGCAAAUAUUCAAAUGCGAACUUUGAAGACUGAAGUGGAGAAAGGUCCCAUGUGAACAGCCAUUGGACAUGGGUUAGUCGGCCCUAAAUGAUGGGGCGAACCUGUGUCAAGGACUGCAUUGCGGCCGCCCAUCGAAAGGGAAAAGGGUUAAGAUUCCCUCACCUGGACAAGGCGACGACGACGAAGUGAGCAAGCCCGGAGACGUCGGCGGAGGCCCAGGAACGAGUUCUCUUUUCUGUUUGACGGCUCGAAGGCCCUAGAAUGGGAUCAUCCCGAGAUAGGGCUCAGCAGCCGGUAAAGUGCCUCAACUAUGAGGCGUCUGGCGCGCUUCUGACGGCCCUUGAAAAUCCGGGGGAGCGACUGAUCUUGCCAGGCCGUACUCAUAAUUAUGAGUAUAUCCGCAUCAGGUCGCCAAGGUGAACAGCCUCUAGUCGAUAGAACAAUGUAGAUAAGUGAAGUCGGCAAACUGGGUUUGUAACUUCGGGAAAAGAACUGGCUCUGAGGGUUAGGCCCGGGGUUCUGUAGCUCGAAACCGGGUCAGGCCCGGGGUUCUGUAGCUCGAAACCGGGUCCGGCCCGGGGUUCUGUAGCUCGAAACCGGGUCCGGCCCGGGGUUCUGUAGCUCGAAACCGGGUCAGGCCCGGGGUUCUGUAGCUCGAAACCGGAGGCUGAAUGCAGUCUGCUCGAGCCGCUUCGCGUGGCGAGGGCGGACGGUUGCAUGCCCCCGCGGAUAGCCUCAGAAAGGGCUUCUACCCGCGGUAGUAGCCGACUCAGAACUGGGACGAACAACUGGGAAUCCGACUGUUCAAUUGUAACAAAGCAUUGUGAUGGGACGAACAACUGGGAAUCCGACUCUUCAAUUGUAACAAAGCAUUGUGAUGGUCCGCAAGGGAUGCUGCCACAAUGUGAUUUCUGCCCAGUGCUCUGAAUGUCAAAGUGAAGAAAUUCAACCAAGCGCAGGUAAAUGGCGGGAGUAAGUGUGACUCUCUUAAGGUAGCAAAUGUCUCGUCAUCUAAUUAGUGACGCACGGUGAAUGGAUUAACGACAUUCUUACUGUCCCUAUCUACUAUCUAGCGAAACCAUAGCCAAGGGAACGGGCUUGGAAGAAACAGCGGGGAAAGAAGACCCUGUUGAGCUUGACUCUAGCUAGGUCGACUUUGUGAAGUGACUUGAGGGGUGUAGAAUAAGUGGGAGCGUACGCGCCGGUGAAAUACCACUACCUUUAACGUUGUUUUACUUAUUCCAUUGCUUGGAAGCGGGUCUCCGACCCUCCAUCUGGCUCUAAGGCACCCUCGGGCACCUACCCAGGUGGAAGACCUUGUCAGGUGGGGAGCUCGGCUGAGGCGGCACAUCUGUUAAAAGAUAACGCAGAUGUCCUAAGAUGAGUUCAACGAGAACAGAAAUCUCGUGUGGAACAAAAGGGAAAAACUCAUUUUAUUUGAUUUUCAGUACAAACUGUGCAAGCAUGGCCUAUCGAUCCUUUGGACCUGCGAGAUUUGCAGCUGGAGGUGUCAGAAAAGUUACCACAGGGAUAAUUGGCUUGUGGCAGCGAAGCGACCAUAGCGACGUUGCUUUUUGAUUCUUCGAUGUUGGCUCUUCCUAUCAUUCGGAAGCAGAUGAAUUCAGAAAGUGUCGGAUUGUUCACCCGCCAAUAGGGAACGUGAGCUGGGUUUAGACCGUCGUGAGACAGGUUAGUUUUACUCUACUGUUGUGCCGACCCCGCCAUAGUAAUGCGGCUCAGUACGAGAGGAACCGCCGGUUCGGAUAAUUGGUAAUGCGCUCGCCCGAAAAAGCGAUGGCGCAACGCUACCAUCCGUUUCCUAACACCUGAACGCCUCUAAGGUGGAAGGAGCGCUAGGAGCGGGGUCAUUCAUCCCAACGAUCGUCACCAGUUUACGGAUAGGCUUGCCUGUGCCGGGUCAGGAGCAUACUCGAUGGCAAUCCUCUUCGCUUGUUGGGGUAAAUCCCUUGCAAACGACUCGGAACGAAUGCAGUAUUGUAAACGGCAUAGUGGCCUUGCUGCUACGAUCCGUUGAGAUUUAGCUGC
This 3564-nucleotide ribosomal RNA is filed under the name Botryococcus braunii. RNAcentral describes it as "eukaryotic LSU rRNA". The stretch from base 886 to 3564 matches the Rfam family "Eukaryotic large subunit ribosomal RNA". Lineage: Eukaryota; Viridiplantae; Chlorophyta; Trebouxiophyceae. The record is from RNAcentral.